Molecule: ribosomal RNA, 395 nt
Filed under: uncultured bacterium
Lineage: Bacteria
Description: bacterial SSU rRNA
Rfam family: Bacterial small subunit ribosomal RNA
Source: RNAcentral
UCUUCCACAAUGGGCGAAAGCCUGAUGGAGCAACGCCGCGUGGGUGAAGAAGGUCUUCGGGUCGCAAAGCUCUGUCCUCAAGGAAGAUAAUGACGGUACUUGAGGAGGAAGCCCCGGCUAACUACGUGCCAGCAGCCGCGGUAAUACGUAGGGGGCUAGCGUUAUCCGGAAUUACUGGGCGUAAAGGGUGCGUAGGUGGUUUCUUAAGUCAGAGGUGAAAGGCUACGGCUCAACCGUAGUAAGCCUUUGAAACUGGGGAACUUGAGUGCAGGAGAGGAGAGUGGAAUUCCUAGUGUAGCGGUGAAAUGCGUAGAUAUUAGGAGGAACACCAGUUGCGAAGGCGGCUCUCUGGACUGUAACUGACACUGAGGCACGAAAGCGUGGGGAGCAAACAG